UGGGGAAUAUUGCACAAUGGGCGCAAGCCUGAUGCAGCCAUGCCGCGUGUGUGAAGAAGGCCUUCGGGUUGUAAAGCACUUUCAGCGAGGAGGAAGGGUAGUGUGUUAAUAGCACAUUGCAUUGACGUUACUCGCAGAAGAAGCACCGGCUAACUCCGUGCCAGCAGCCGCGGUAAUACGGAGGGUGCAAGCGUUAAUCGGAAUUACUGGGUGUAAAGCGCACGCAGGCGGUUUGUUAAGUCAGAUGUGAAAUCCCCGCGCUUAACGUGGGAACU
This 275-nucleotide ribosomal RNA is filed under the name uncultured bacterium. RNAcentral's name for it is "partial 16S ribosomal RNA". It matches the Rfam family "Bacterial small subunit ribosomal RNA", at positions 355 to 622 of the family's 1533-position model. The record is from RNAcentral.